Molecule: small RNA, 110 nt
Filed under: Drosophila erecta
Lineage: Eukaryota; Metazoa; Arthropoda; Insecta; Diptera; Drosophilidae
Description: GG26482
Source: RNAcentral
CCACAUUUUGCAUAUCUGCUUUAAACUAAUUAGUUAUGCUAAUCGUGCUCAAUUGAAUUGCAUUAUAUUACUAUAAAGCUAUUAACCCAUUAUGACCCUUAGAAAGUUUA